AAAGUUUUCUCGCAUCUAGUACUCUUUCUUUCAACAACAUAAGCGAAAACGAGCUUCGUCGUGUCGCCAGGAUCAUAGCCAAAAAGAUGUUUGCGGUGCAGCAGCAGGAGCAAUUGGCCAAGGGCUUGGUUCGUAAUGUGGGCACGCAAACAACAGAGCACGGCGUGCAUUUCAUUCCAUGAGGACAUUUUAUGAGGAAUAUUUUUUCGUCAGCAUAUCGCUGCUUUCAGUAUCAAAGCCGUUUGAAGAACUUGUUCAUGACGUCGAGGUGGUGCGGUAAAUAAAAAGGGGCACUGUUUCCCUUAUUCAUGAUUCAGAAAAA
Long non-coding RNA from Rhipicephalus microplus (southern cattle tick), 322 nucleotides. NCBI's taxonomy places the organism in Eukaryota, Metazoa, Arthropoda, Arachnida, Ixodida, Ixodidae. The record is from RefSeq and is a predicted model, not a curated record.